GGACGAAAAAAGCAUUUUUGAGGUCCUUAUACUCAUUAUGCCUAGCAUUGAAUGACCGGGUAUUCACCCUAUCAAUAUCUCAAAUCAAUGAUGGGUUCGAUUCGGAUCUUGCCUAAACGGCACCCAAAUCGGACCGAACCAUUUGUCAGGCUAUUGUUCUCUUGUUUUGUUCCUUCAAAGUAAUGGAGUAAGACAUCGAUUUCUCAAAAAGAUCAAUUCUUUUGAUUGCAUGAUAGACUUCCCUGAAAAACAUUGGCGCAUGUGUAAACGAGGCGCUCUACCAACUGAGCUAUAGCCCUUGUGUUUGUGAUACAUAUUUUAUCAUAUUAUGUAGAUAAUUUCUUGUCAAGAUGAAUACUACAUGAUCCAACAUCAUAAUCAUACCCUUUUGGUCGGUUUGAUUGGUAUUGCUUAGAAGUAAUAUUGGAUUUAUAAUCCAUCGAUGUAAUAGGUCCCUUUUCUUUCUCUUUAUGAUUCCUUAUGGUAAUAAAUGACAUACUUAACUCAGCGGUUAGAGUAUUGCUUUCAUACGACGGGAGUCAUUGAUUCAAAUCCAAUAGUAGGUAGAACUUAUUAGGAUUUCGUUAAGGAUAAUCUAGAAGCAUAAAAUAAAAUUUUAAAAGGAGAUUAAAUUAAUUAAUUUUAAUAUUAUAGUAACAAAUCAGUUGAUAUUAUCAAUGGAUAAAAAAAUUUCAACAAUUUAUUUUAAUGUUUUUAAAAUUUAAAAUUUUAAUGUUAAAAAAAUAAAAAUUAGAAUUUCGGCAAUGGGACAAACAAGUACAAUUUAACAAUUUUAUGUAUUAUUUUGGUUUCCAUCGCUUUUUCACUUUAAUCCUUGAUUUUUUUUUACCCCAAUCAAUACUUCAAAAAAAUAUUUUUUGGGUGACCAAAAUGAAAGUGUAAACAUGAUGUGGUGCGUACAGUUAAUCGCUGUUAGAGAUUUAACGCUUGAGUGACUAAAAUGAAAGCACCCUAAAAGUUGGAUGACCAACUAAGUAGUUUACCUUUUUUUAAUAAGGGUUUAGUCGUUUUCUGGGGUAUGAACUUUGCAACUACAACCACAUUGGGGCUUGUACUUUUUUGGUCCAAAAUAGCUUCUAAACUUGGCAAAUUUUCCACAUUGGGGCUUGAGCUUUCUUUUUGUCCAAGUUAGUCUUGAACGUGGCAAUUGUUCAUGUAUUGGGGCUUGAAUUAUUUUUGGUCCAAGUUGGUCCAAGUUAGUUCAGACUCUCGAUGUGAGAAUAACUGUCAAGUUUAGGGACUAACUUGAAUAAAAAAAUUGUAGUCCUAAUGUGAGAGAAAAAUUGUCUAAUUCACUCCCUGAUAUGAGAACAAUUACCAAGUUCGAGAACCAACUUGGAUACCAAAAAGUUUAGACCUCAAUGUAAUUUUUUUUGUCAAAUUUGGACCCCAAAUAAUAAUUUAACCCCUUUUUUUAAUGAUGCUUUGAUAUUGUUUUAGUAUUUAUUUUUGGUCGAGAGAUUGUGUUUGUACAAUUGUACUUAGUUGCAUGAUAAUAAAUUUAAAACAUUAGAAGGGUAAAAAGGUCAAGUCUUGGUAAAUAAUGAGACAUUGAUGCUUGCCUUUUGUUGGAGAACAUUAAUGUCUUGUUGUCGACUUAGAAAUAUUAUUUUGUAAUUAUUCCAAAUAAUAAAAUUGUUGCUCAAACUUUUUUUUUCUUUUUUUUUUUGAAUUUUAAAUGGUCAUUAAGGAUUAUAAUAAAUUUUUUUAAAAAAUUAUUGUAACGAUCUAAUUUUUGCCAAUGUCGGAAAUGUCAAUUUCGAAACCAAAUUUGAUAAAGCCGAGAUGUUCAGAAAGUUAAAAUGAAAACAUUACGAGUACUUCAAUUUUUUUCAAAAAAAGCAAUUAAACCUUUUUUUUUUUGCACUCAAUUGAAUACUUGAACCGUUAAAAUGCAUCAAAAAAACUCUAAAUUUUUCAAAAUUUAAUCCUCCUAUUUUAAUUUAUUAAAAUUUUGAUCUUCGUUCUUUACGAAAAUUGAGAAGAUACUUCUAUAGGCAAUGACCCUGAUCCCUUCCCCAAAUGCUAUAAUAUUAAAAUAAUACUUUAGCCCCUAAAAAGAUGUUUUAGCUUCGUCCUUGUCUAUAACAAUUAUGGUUGAGGACUAGGAUGACAAUUCAAAUAUAUCUCUUUCAGAAUAAUUAAUCGAAUAAAUUAAAAUUUUUUUAAAAAAAUAGAUAAAUUCGAUUCAAGUCAAUUCAAUAUUUGAAAAUUUCAUAUUUGUAAAUACAAAAGAUUUUUGUUGUUGUUGUUGUUGAAAGCAUUGAUAUAAAUGAUGGGAUGUGGCAGUUGGGGACCAUUAUUCUACCAAAUUGGUUUCUUCUUCCUUCUUCUAGCUACCACUGUUUACUAGUCUCCGCAUGGUUAUUGUGAGAAUCAUCCUCAAUGAGCACAUUCGAUCCUUUGUAUCAACACUAUUAUUUCGUGUUUAAGUCAAUUUUGAGUUAAGGUUAUUUUGAGUUCAAACUAUUAAUGAUUUGCCCAUUUUAGGUUUGGGUUUUUUUUUGGAUUGAAUCAUCUUAGGUUAAGGUCAUUUUAGAUUAUUCGUCUAGGUCAUUUCAAGUUUGAUUCAUUUAUAACAUGUGUCAUUUUGGGUUAGACGAGUUCGAUUUUUUCACCUUUUAUGAUCAAAUUAAUUUGUUAUAUCCUGCCUUGAUUGGAACACGUGGCAACAUGAGAAUCGACUGGAGAGACACUCGCGAGUGGCACUUCGUCUUAUACCAUUUGGAUGCCUCGUAUAACCCAUGGAAGAGACCAUCCAUCAUUAACCAUCCGAUUGGACCCUCAGUUAGGCCACUUAGUAUUAACGGGUACACUCUUCUCAAGAGUGGGCCACUCGGGAACCAUCACUCUUCUAUAAAUACCUCAAGAUAUCAACAUAGUAGGGGACUCUUCUUCUCUCUCAAAACCUUGACACACUAAGCUCUCAUCCUACUCCACUUGAGCCCUCCACUCUUUUAGCUCUCGGCCCCGGUGAAGGCGAAUUGACCUUCGUCAUCACUAUCCCACUCCUCACCUUCUCCACCCUCGUUGAUAUUGUAUAUUAACAAAAUUAAAUCAAAUUUAAAUUAAUUGAAUUACAAAAUAAUAUUUCUAAUAUGAAAAAAAAAACAGAAUUAAAAUGGAUUCCAAGCAAGAUCAAAUUAAUUAAGGACCGGGGCCCCGCUUAAUAGAUAAGUCAACAACAAGACAUUCAUCAAUGUUUCAUUCAUCAUGAUUUGACCUUUUUACCCUUUUUAUCAAAGGAUAACUUUUUUGGGGCCAAAUUAUCAAAGGAUCACUUUAAAAGGGCUCUAAAGUCAAUUUUCCCUAAGGCAAAAAAGUCAGAUUAGGGGUAUUAGACUUGGAAUCAAGCCUUGCUAUAAAGGAUCAUUUGAGAUUAUAUUUUCAUGGGGUUCAAUGACUUUCUUUUUGAAGAAGAGACAGGAUCAUGAAUUAAGUUUAAAAUGACUUGAAUUUAUUAAUCGAAUCGAAAAUUAAUUAAUUGAUUGGAUUAAUUGAACAAAAAAUCAUUAAUUUGGUCUAAAACAAAACAAAAAUCAAUUGAUCCACGUAUCGAUAUAGACCAAUUAAACCGGAUUAAUGUACUAAUUAGUGAAGAAUGGAAAUUAAUGAAGUAAUUAAAAAGCAAAUAAAUAAAAAUAAACAAUUUAAAUUAUUAAUUGUAAAUAUAAUGAACACAAAUACAGAGGUUUAAAAGUUUACUUUGAACCACUCCAUUGUUGGCUUUUCAAGCUUGAAAAAACCUGCUCUUUUGCUGAUGUUUCCAAGCUUUAAAAAAAAAACAGACACAAACAUGUCUGAAAGCAACCAAAAUCUCUUUACAGAGAUGUUGUGUUCCAAAUUUUCUAACUACAACAUACUUUAUAUACAUCUGGUUCAUCAACUUUUACCUUGUACUACAAAGGCUAUAUACCCCUACAAGGAAGUUGUUUUUGCCACCAUUGUUACAUAGAAGGCAGACCCCGAUUGCCACUUAGAUGGCUCGGUGCUAACUUCGGCAACCGCUAUUCUUUAUCGGAAUUAUAUAUUGCCAUUGUUUUCUUCUGCAAUGCCGUAUAUUUUGAUAAUAGAUAACCCUUCACAACGUAUCAUGAGCUUCUUCCAAUGUCCUUGUCGGUGUAAUCUCCACCUCGAAACGAUGCUGCCGCCGUGGCAGCAUCAAAUCCUCCUCCGAUAGAGGUAAUUAGAGCUGACAGGCCGGCAGUGGGGUUGCCACCGGCAGCUACCCCCAAUCCAAGGAAAUCGAGAGUAGUUUGCUUAGGACCGAACACUGGGGUUCCCAUCAUCAGUUCCUUUAAUCCAGAACUUCCAUCACAGGGAAGCCCUAGUCCAACCCCUGCUGCAAUGGAGGCAUUGUCAGGGUCCACUUGUGCCUGACCCCAUUGUAAAUUUUCUUGUGGUGCUGAUGACGAAACAAUACCGAGACCACGAAGCAAGGAUGCAUUACUUGCUGCUGCUCCCAUCUGAGCAGCUUUCUGAAGUAGUGCAGUGGCUGACAUAGCAGGUUGCAGCGACGGUGCAUGCUGCCGAUGCUCUUGCCCUGCAGUCCCGAAUAUUGACGAGCCAUGGCUGGUCGAGAGGCAUAGAGAAAUUGGUUCGAUUGAUGCAGAUGGAGCAAGGUCAGGUCGAAUUAAAUUGGUUAAAGGAGGAGGUUGAGGAGGUUGUAUGCUUGCAGAUACAGUUGAGGAGGCAAAUAAACUUGCAAAUACACCACUGCUGCUGCUAUUGCUAGCACCACUGCUAACCAGGCUGAUGCAACCGCUACAACUUCCAUUUAAGCCAGCCGAUGGUGGAGCUGGUGCCGUAGGUUGAGGAGGUCGAAUGCUUGCAGAUACAGUCGAGGAGGUAAAUAAGCUCGAAAAUACACCGCUGCUGCUGCUACAACCACUGCUAAUCAAGCUGACACUAGUGCUACAACUUCCAUUUAAGCUAGCUGGAGGUGGAGCCGGUGCCAGUGCCGGAGCUGGUGCUGGAGCUGGUGCUGGAGCUGCAGCUUUUUCCACGAUAAUACUUGGAACUUCAGCCAACACUACAACAAGAACCCAUAUAUAAGACAUAUAUACAGUCAUUUUAAAGUCUUAAACAUGAAAUCGACAAAAGACCAAUAACAGACAAAAACUACUACACUCCAAAGAUUCAUCCAAAGACAUAAUAACAACAAAAUAAAUAAAUAAAAUUUGUCCUUGUUUCAAUUCAAACUACAUAAAAAAAGGGCAAAACCGAAACUAACAAGAUACAAAAUUCUCUAAUUAUGUGUUUUACCAGAACUUUGAAUCGGCAUAUCUGAAAAAGUUACUGCACUCGGAGCAGACACUGGCGGAGAUGCAGGCGGUGGCAAUGAAUCCGCCGCCUGAACUUUUGGGUCGGGUUCCGAACUGAGAUUCGUUUGUGUUUUAGCACUCUCCACUGCUAACGCAUCACAAAAAGCUCUGUGGGUAAUAAAACUGUCCCUCCUACAAAAAAAUGAACAAAAAGAAUCCAAAAUCAACAAUCAAAUCCCAGAAAAAAGAACCCAUAUUUUUCACCUAGGAAUUAAGUCGAACACCUGGAAAACACAGUUCCACAAUCACAUUUAUACUCUCGAGUGCCACAGAUCUUAGAGUGAGCUUUCCAAUCCGAUUGAACAGCGUACUUCUUAGAACAUUUAUCACAUUUCCAUUUCUUUUCACCAUGUUUUCUACAGAAAUGCUUCUUAAUCCCCGUGAGAUCACCUAAAGCUCUCGAAGGGUCAUGAUGAACACACGUCGGCUCAGGACAAACAUAAACCUUCUUCUUCACUUCCUUGCUCGAUCUUUGCCUCAGCUUCCAUGGCAGAUUAUGACCUCGUCUAUGAAGCUGAAGAUUUUGGUCCCUUUGAAACCCUUUGUUACAAAUUUCACACACGAAUCGGUUCGUAGCUAACAAAGUCGUAGGUGAUAAAGCAAUCACCUCUGCAUCUGGAUCUGUAUAAAAAAAAUUAAAUUCAUAACAAAAUAAAGUACCAAAAUUAAGGCUGAUUUGAUUAUUGGAUAAUUAAUUUAUUUUACAGUACCCGGCAUUCCAGGGAGGUUACGUUUCUUCUUAACGGUGGAUUUGGGAGGUGGGCUUUGGUUACCGGUGGAAGAGACGCUGGCGUUGCCGGAGACGGUGGAGGAAUUGUCAACCUCAACCGGCAUAGCUUUAAAAAAAUCAAAUUACUAGAACCAAAAAAAAAAGGUUCUUUUUUCCCCUUUGUAAAGCUUCGUUUAUCUACCAGUCAAUCAGCUUUAUAUAUAUAAAAAAUCUUUAGGCCAUCUACCAGCUCUGUGCUUUGACCAAAAAUUUUCACAGUACCCAAACAGAAGCUCAAUGAUUAAACCCAAACACAGAAAGAUCAACUUCUUACGUUUCCCAGAAAAAAAAAAGUUUAAACUUUGAAGUUGAAUCCAAAACCCCAAAAAGAUCAAUUAAAUACCAAGUAACCAAAUCGAAUCAAAGAACCCUCCCCAGCAAACUGAAUGAUCCAACGGUCAAAGAUGAGCAAAUAAUAAACAAUUAAAACACAGGAAAGAAAACCCAGGAUUAUAUAUGGAUAAGUUAAAAUAUAUAUAUAUAUAUUAACAAGGCUAAAAAGGAACACACAAAAAAUGAAAUACAGAACUUCGUGUGAAAGUUUUAGAGCAAAAAAUAUUAAAGAAAAGAUAGAGAGAGAGUGUUCUAAAGUUCUUCAAUUGCCGUACCUGGUUUACUUUUCAGAAGAUAUAUGAAUAUAUUAAUUUUAAGUGGGGUUUCAGCAAUUUUUUAGCAGUUAGUCCCUGUAGUUCUCUUUUUAUUCUUUCUAAUUUAAUUUUAAAAUUCUGAUUUAAUAGUUAAUCUUAUUAUAUUUCGGGUUGCGCCAUACAUAUGAAAGAAUAUAGAAUAAUGAUGUAUUUGGCGAAUCAAAUACCAUGGUCUAAUAAGGAACCUUUUGGAUUCAUUGAUAAUUUUUUGAAAGAUUUCUUCGAAAAUGUUUCAUUAACUCCUCAUUUAUAUCGAGUUGACCUUGUUGUUGCGAGAAUUCUUAAUUCAUGAGUUGUAGGGAGGGUGUCACCAUAAACAGCGACUAAAGCAAGUGUUGGAUUCAAAGCUGGUAUUAAAGAGUAUAAAUUGAAUGGGCGUAAUCGGGCCUUCUUUUUACAUAUCUCUCGUUAUUUGGGACCCUAUUCACCUCUUUUCUUUUCUUUUUCUUCUAUUGAAUCGAGAAAAAAAUAAUAUAUUUGAAAAGUAGAUAGACUAAAUUCUAAAUAAUUGAUUUGGUGGCUAUGCAACAAGAAGAAUUCAUGUAUUUUUAUAUUUGAAAAGUAAAUGGACUAAGUUCUAAAUAAUUGAAGAGUACAACGACCUGAAGCAAAUUUUAACCAUUUAAAAAUUUUAGUCCACUCAUUAUCGUUGUUGAUAGUUUUUAUCAAAAUUUAUCAACUUAACAUCUUUAUAUUCUAUCGUGUCAUAUGAUGACAGAAAAAUUAAAAUUCCAAAUUGACAAAAUAUAAUAUAAAAAUGCUUACUAUUUUUAACAACUAGACAUAGAUUUUUAAAUAAAAAUUUUUUUAAAAGUAUAAGGACUAAAUAUCAAAUAUUAUUAAAUUAUAGGGACUAACAACAUAUUUUAACUUUUUUACUGUUUACCGUGAGGGAGUUGUGAGGAAGAGGUGUUUUGUCGUGUAGUGAAGUGGUCAUCCGAACUGGAUCGAACAAGAUCAAAGAAGCUGUGGUCGGUGUUAUUUUAUUUCUUGUAAAGUCAAACCACUUUUGUUUAGAUGAUUGGUUUAUUUCACUGCUUUCGGCCAAUUGUUCGCCGGCACGUGGUAUGAACCGCUAGAACUGAGCUUAUUAGAUUGUUGCCCGUUAGUUUUAUUUAUUUUUCAUAACCACCUUGUGGGGUUUUGUCUUAAUUUUAUUUCUCAAAACUUAUUUAUUUAAUUUUGUUUCGUUUUUAAGGUGUCUAUAUUCGAUUUUAGGUUCAAAAUUUUGUCUCCCGUUCUUAAAAAAGGCACGGGGCACCACUAUUAGUCAAUGAAAAGUGGUUCACACGAUUAAAUAACGAUGCUAAAAACUACAUGUGAAAGCAAGGGUGAAGUCAAAAAAUUUUAAGAGUGUAGAUAAAAAUUAAGUUAGAUGUUAUUAUAAGAGGUAAAAUAUAAUUUUAUGAUUUUAUUAACUUGUAAUUUUAUAUUUUUAAAUGAUUAAAUUGAAAUUUUAUGAUUUUGAGGAUCAAAAUGUAAUUUUACCAUACACUAAUUUAUAAUUUUAUAAAACUUAUAAGGCCUGCCUCAUCCACGGUGUAAAUGGAAGAGUUUGUGUAUAAUGAGAUUAAACUAGUGACCUAUAGCAUGUAGAUUAUAUUUAUGGAUAAUAUUUUUAAUGCUAAAAUUAAAUAUAAAAAAUUCAUAUAAUUAUAUUCACCUUUUCUCUUUUCAUCGAGAUAAUUUUAAUUAAAAAAAAAGCUAAAAUAAUAAAAAAAUAUAUAACUAAUUUUCACCUAUUUUUUAUCGUACUUAGCAUGAAUUAAUUUGAAGGUGAUUAAAAAAUAAAAUGGAUUUAUUUCAACAAAUCCCAAGUUGCGAACUAUAAAAAAGGAUUUAUUUCAACAUAAUAAAAUUAAAAGAGAUAAAAUCAAUUAGACCUAAUCAUGAGUUGGGUCGGGUCUGGUCGAUAUAAAGGUGUCUAAAAAGAUAUAAGAGAAAUUAAAAACUCUUCACGGAAUAUUAGAACUAGACCAGAUCAUGAGUCGAGUCAGGCCGAUGUAAAAUUCUAGGAUUAUUUUUUAGGCCUGAGCCUGACCCAAAAAAUGGGCUUAAAACUUUAUCAAAGCCCGACCUAAAUUAAAAAUGCUAAACUCAAGCUCGACUAGUCCUUAUUAAUUUUUUUUAUAUAAAACAAAAUUUAAAAAAUAUAAUACAUCAAAUACACUAAAAAAUUAAAUAAUACUAAGAUAAUUGCAACUUAGUGAAUAAGUCCCUCUAAAACAGUAACAAAAUUUACCCGAACCCUCCCAUAUUUCGGGCGGGCCGUCCGACCCAUGGACAGGUCUAACUGACAACAAUACAAUAAUAUCCAUUCUAAUCGAAAUAAGACUCAAUCGAUGGAAAAUGGGUUAAUUGAAUCUCCCGUGAUGGUUAACAUGUCCAAUGUAGAACUUAAAUGGUACGAACUUGAAGUACCUACAAAACUUAGUGCACUAAACAAAUCUUAAAAAGGCCUACCAAAUACUAUUGUUCAAAUCGAUUUUUAAUUUCUUUACCUAACCUAAUGAUAAUAAAUGGUAAAGGCCCAUUUGGGAUCCAUCAAAGGGCCCAAACAAAACCCAAUUUGGAGAUAUAAAGACAUUGAAAUGAUCUUAAACAAUGAUGGGUUGUUUUUAGGCAAAAGCAUCCAUUCAUGGGUUUUGGAUUUCAAAGAUUCCCACCUACCAUGUUUUAUUAAUUAACCCCAUGUGUGAUCCGAUGGUUAAAAGUGUUUACCUGAGUUUGAGUCAUGCCAGUCACGUUGGUUGUUCGAACUUUGCCUUAUUAUUAUAAUUUACCAAAAAAACUAAUUUUAAAAACAUUGUAUAAUAAUUAUUAAUUGUUUUUUACUCACUUGAUUUUUUAAAAACAUUUAUUAAAAAAUUGAAAUUUCACUAAAUAAUAUCCAAAAAAUCAUAAAACAAAACUCGUUUUUGUUAAAAUAAAAUACAAAAACCCAAAAUCCAAAAUGAAAAAAAAUCGAAAAUCGAAAACCGAAUCCAACUUAUCCUUACCCCAAAACAAAAGAAAUUCAAGAUAGAAUAAAUUUGUAAAUUUGUAGAUUGUAGAUAUAUGGCCCAUAAUUGAUUUUAUUUCUAUGAAGCAUAAAAUAGAUAAGAAUGGAUAAGAAUUUUAAGCUUCUCUCUUUUAUUUUUAUUUUUUUCCUUUGUUUUUUUGUGGUAAUCUUUAAUCCUAGCUUACUAUUUUUUGUCCAUUCCCAUAUCAACAAAAUUUCCAUUUUAUACAUCCUCAAAAUUUACACCAACCACACCCUUGAUUUUGUGAGUAUAAUACGCUUUAGCACAUUCGAACCCGUAUCUUCCUCCAUUGACAAUAAUACCCAUACUAAUUUAACCAACAAAAUUUUUAUUUUAUAUAUUCUUGAAAUUUUCACUAACCACACUAUUAAUUUUGUCCUUUCUAAAAAAUAUUUUUUUGAAGUUAAACAUGAUUUUUUUAUGUUUGGUCACAAAAAGAACAUGGACAAAAAAGUUGAUAAAUUUUGUCAUAUUUUUGUAUAGAUUUUAUUUUAUUUUAAUUGAUUUUGUCACAAAAAGAUCCUUUGAUAUUGUCACCAACAUGCAUGCAUUGGUGCACAUUUUAAAUUGAACAAAGAAUAGGAACCUUGAAAAGGGUAUAUAUUUGAUGCUCGAAUGGAAUAUUUGAGGGUUAUUUCGGUAAUAAAUAAUUGGGAUAAAUUAAUCUUUAGUCCUUACAUUUGAUAAAAAAUUUUCACUUUGGUCUCUAAUUUUUUUUUGUCCACGUUAGUCUCUAAACUUGAUAGAUUUUUUUUCCCAUUUUGGUUCCUAAACAUGAAUCUCGUUAAGGUAUGAUCAUGUGACACAAUCUCUGUAUGCAAUGUGAUUAUGCCUUAGCGAAAUCUAAGUUUAGGGAUCAAAUUCAGAAAAGUUAUCAAAAACUAAAUAUUUUUUUAUCACAAACAAUAUAUGGGAGUUGAUAUCAAAAGGUCAAAUUAUGGUUUUGACCCCUAAAAUGAAAAUUUUAGUUUUGGUCCUUUAAAUUUCAUAAAAUUUUUAAUUAGUACAUGAUAAAAUUAUACUUUAGCUCCUAAAAUGAUAAAACUUUCAUUUAGUCAUUUAAAAGAUUAUAAAUAUACCAACUCUUAAAAUGGUGAAUUUAUAUUUUAACUCUCAUAAAAACAUACAACUAAUUCCGACCCCUCAAAAAUUUAUUGACCCCUCAAAUGACUAAAUUUCAAAUUCCAACAUAAUAAAAGGACCAAAACUAGAAUUAGACCGAUAUAAAAAAGACUAUAUCACCUUCAUUAUCCCCUCUCUUUGUAAAUAAAGCCAAUGAGGGAGAGGGAAAAGAGGGAGAGAAGAAGCACCGGAGAUAUUCGAGUCGGAUCCGGGUCAUCUUUCGGAUCGUCAAUCCGUAAAAAAGACCCAAUUUAGCUUUCAGAUCUUUCCUCUUUUCUUUCACCCUCGAUUGUUUGUUUUCGCUUUACGAUUUUUUUACUGAUUCGAUAAUAGCUUUUACCUAAGGUUCCUCUGGCAUCGAAUAUUAGCAGAUUAAACGCUACAAAGCUACUUGAACAGGUUCAAUUUUACUAUUUUUCAAUCCUUUUUCGCGUUUGGGUUGUUGGGUAUUUGCGAAAAGUUUCAAUUUUUGUGAAUUUUAUUUACAAUUACCCAUAUUUUGUUUUCAUAUUGUUUUGCAGAAAGCUUUAAGCUUUGAAAUGGGAUCAUUAAACUUAAGCUAUGCUUUGUUUUGUUUUCUUUUUAUUAGGGACCAUACAUUGAAAUGUAAUUACUGGAUAUUAGAAGUAAAAAAAUCUGCAUUUUUAUCAUCCAUAAAUGGUGAAAUUUCUAGUUUUUAACUGUUCUAUGUGUUGAAACUUGAAAGAAAUAAGCUUCAUUGGAGUAGAAUUAGUAUUAAUUGUUGAUAUGUUAUGUAUUAGUCUUUGAAGGACAAUUGCAGAAACCAGUUGUGUAAUUAAACUGUUUUCACUGUUUACACAUGUUGAGGUUCGGUCGGCUCCUAAGUGUCGUCCGCCAGCCAGCCGACUGGACCACUAACAACAGAAGGUAUUGUCCUCGGGAGAGGAUUUUGUCCCCAGCUUCUGCGGAGAGCUAGUGUUUCUUGAGCGGCUGCGGAGGGGGUUGCCUUGACUGUACAUGAGUGUACGACCAUGAGCGUCUCGCCCUUGGUGGGUGGGUGGCCAUACACCUACGUAUGGUCAAGGUGCCCUUGGCUUUGUGAACCAAGCUCUCAAAGUAGUCAGCUCAUGGCAAGCUGGUUUGGGGCAGAGCACGAGAGACAAAACUCUCGUCAGGGACAAUACCUUAGGUUGUUGGGAGUCGGGUCGGUUGCUCAGCGGACGACACUUUGAAGACUUCUUCCAAAGGAGCCGACCGACCCUCAACAAGACAGUAAUUGUUGUUGUUUUGGAAUUUAAGGGUUGUUGUGUUAGUCUCUUUUUCCUUAUUCCGAGUAAUUAGAUAUCCGAUACUAGGUUUUAUUCUAAUCCAUCUUUGUAACAGGGAAAAAACUAUGGCUGUGUCUGGUUCCAAGGUUGUUUUUGGAGAUGUUUAUGUGGACGAGUUAGUGUCGAGUUGCGGGAAUGGCUUUGAGUUUUUGAAACCUAAAGGGGUUUAUUUUGCUGAUCGAAGCCAUAUCAGUUGCCGAAAAGCUGGUAUGGUUUUGAGAAAGCAAGAACAACCCCUCUUUGUUUGUGGACACUAUGUUUCUCCCACAAUGUCGAGAAAUUCCAAAUAUAAUCCUCCUUUUGGUCCAAGGAUUAAAAGUAGUCGCACUUCGCCUUUGCCAUGUUCCUCUUCUAGGGCCGUCCACGAUGUGUCAUUUGAUGGCAGUUCUAGUGAUGAUCAAACCACAAGUUUGCCUCUACGGUAUGUCCUCAUCUUGUAUUUACCCUACUAUAUGCUUUAAACAUUUCCGACACUGGCUAUCUAUGCUUGUACUCAAUUUCCACAUUUUGGUCAUUUGGUGUUGAUUUCAGAGCUAUUCCGAGUGAGCGAACAUUGACACUUGUUUCCGGGUCAUGUUAUCUCCCCCAUCCCGCUAAGGUAGAAAAGGGAGGGGAGGACGCGCACUUCAUUUGUGCUGAUGAACAAGCCAUAGGAGUAGCCGAUGGUGUAGGUGGCUGGGCUGAAGUCGGUAUUGAUGCUGGUGAAUUUGCUCGUGAACUUAUGUCUAAUUCGGUGAAAGCAAUUCGAGAUGAACCCAAAGGUUCAGUUGACCCGGCCAGAGUAUUAGAGAAGGCCCAUUCAAGCACAAAAUCACAAGGAUCCUCAACUGCAUGCAUCAUUUCCCUUCACAAGGAGGUUUGUUUUCACUUUAAAAGGCUAGUCUCAUCGAGUUUGAUUGUUAGUGAAUUUUGGUAUAUAACUUGGGUUGCCCAAGUUUGAUUACAUUCAUGCCGAUUCAUGUACUUACUAUCUCGACAGGGACUACAUGCAAUAAAUUUGGGGGACAGCGGUUUCAUAGUUGUUAGAGAUGGUUCAACUGUUUUUCAUUCCCCAGUGCAGCAACACGGUUUCAAUUUUACUUAUCAGUUGGAGAGCGGUAACAAUGGUGAUCUACCGAGCUCUGGUCAGGUUAGUCGAUGACUCGUUACUCCGCCCUGAUAAAAGGAAUCUGUUAUAGUGGUUUUCCUUUCUUUGUUCACCGUGUUUAAGGCAAUAUCUUUGAAAAUAGUAGAAAUGGCAUUGUCUUGACAAAUGCAUGCAUGCAUAGUGCACUAAAGAUCGAUAAAAAUUGACCAUUGGACACACCCACAUAAAUACAUGCAUGCAUACAUAUAUAUACGCGCGCUAAAGAUCGAUAAAAGUUGACCAUUGGACACACACACACAAAAAUGCAUGCAUGCAUGCAUACAUAUAUAUACCCACGCGCGCUAAAGAUUGAUAGAAAUUGACCAUUGGACCUCAUUUGGCUGCAUUUCUUAAAUGGCUUGGUGCUCAGAGAUAUAAUCAAAACAUGUUUUAUUAUGAGAAAAUGUACUUGAGAGGUCCCUAUAUAUAGGGACCAGAUCAAAUUUGUCCCUCUACUAUUAAAUGGAUUAAUUUAGUCUUUGUACUAUUAAAAAGAAUCAAAUAAGGCCAAGUUGGAAAAGAUUUAAACUUUUUAGUUUAAAAAAUAUCAUUUACUAUUUAACAGAAUUAAAUUUUUAAAAGUUUUUAUGAUUUUGUAAAUGAGAUUUUUUGUUUGUAAUUGAAUUGCAAUAGAAAAAAAUAAUUUUCAAGAUAAGUUUUACUUAGUAAAUGUUAAUUCAGUUAUAAUUUGGACUUAUUUGAUUCUAUUUAAUUGUAUAGAGAUUAAAUUUAUCCAUUUAAUAAUAGAGGGACUAAGUUGAUCCAGAUUCUAUAAUACAAGGACUAAGUUGAAACAAUAUAAAUUUCUUUUUUCUUUCUUGACUCUAAUUGCAACUCAAUAUCCUUAACCUAACUAUUGGUUUGGAAUUUCUUUUCCAGGUUUUCCGAAUUCCCAUUCUGCCAGGUGAUGUCAUUGUUGCCGGAACUGACGGGCUGUUCGAUAAUCUAUACAAUAACGAGGUUGCUGCUGUUGUUGUCCACGCUUUAAGAGCUGGCUUCAGUCCUGAAUCGACUGCUAAAGAGAUAGUAGCUUUGGCUCGUGAACGAGCAGUGGAUAAGAACAAGCAGACACCCUUUGCCAAAGCCGCUCAAGAUGCCGGGUAUCGGUAUAACGGCGGCAAGCUUGACGACAUCACCGUGGUCGUUUCCUUCAUUACUAGCUCCCCCGAUGUGUGAGUUUUCUCCGAGUUGGUGAACCUAUUGAGGCCUUGUAUAAAAUUUUAAGAGUAGUUUUCAUGGUGGGUUUUUAGGCGUUGGAAAGCUUCAUUAGUUAAGUUAAAUUUUGUCCAUGGAAAAUAAAUAAUUCAUAUUUACUUUCCAUCAAUCCUUUAGUUUACAAAGUUUUGAUCUUUGCUUUAAUUGCUUCAUGCUUAAUUAGAAGAGGUUAAGUAAUUAUUCAUCCAUUUUGAUGGACUUAGGUAUGAGGCCCAUUAAAUAAAAAUAAAAAUAUUUAUUUUUUAACAAAAUAUAUGUAGAAAUAUGCAUUGUUUUAGAAUCGGAUUGAUUAGAAUCAAUCAAACCAUCGGUUCAAUUUUAAACUAUUAAAAAUUUUAAAAAAUCUGUUCAAUCGUCACUUCAAUCGAUUUUCUAGUUAAUUUAAGGGUAACUAUUAAAAUAAUCAUUUUUAUUUACUUUAAGUUAUAUUUUAGUCACGUUUGAAAUGUUACGUUUUAGUCACUUACGUUAAGUGUUGUAACAUUUUAGUCAUUGAGCCGUUAAUUGUCAUUAACGGUAUAACGGUAAGUUGCUGUGACAAGUUAAAUCAUCGUUUCGAAUUUAAAAUUUUAAGUUAAAUUAUACAAUUGGUCCUUAUAUUUUUUCAUUUUGAGCAAUUUAAUUUUUUUCUUUUAUGUUUUUAACUUUUUUUUUUCUUUAUUUUUCAUUCUCUUCUACUUCGCCCACUGUUUUCCUCCAUUUUCCAUCGCUUUUAACGUAGUUUUUCUAUAUUUUCCAUCUGUUAAAACUUUUUUAUGUUUAUGAAAAAAGAAAAAGUGAAAGUUGAAACCAAAAUAAAACUUGCUUCGCAUAUUCUCACCCUACAAUUACAAGCAUUCAUUAUCCAUCAUCGCUUUAACGGAUCAAUUUGGAUCUCUCAAUGACCUAGUCCACAAGCUUGCAUCACUCGAAGACCUCGCUAGCCGUGACUUAUAGUAGUCCAUCCUCAAUGAAGUUUCCCGAGCCCUUUCCCUUAACCUUCUUACAAACCCACGACCACCUUAUCUAUCUUACCUAUAACAUUCUCGCACUCUCGAAACUAUGUUGUUUCAUGGAUUCUUCAAACAAUUUUUACACUCUCAAUGACUAAUACGACCAUCAUAUGAAACUUACCCUCAACUUUACCCAAACCAGUUUGGUUCUAUGCUCCCUUUCUCUCUUCGGUUUAUCCAUGCUCGACUUCCAAUCAAGCUUGCUUGGAAAUAUUCAAGAAGGUUUAGAUCAAUUUUAUCGUUUGCUUAAUUUUAUUCGUUAGAAAAGAAAAGAAAAUGAAAAGAAUACACUACACGAUUCUAUAAAAAUUUGGAAACAGAAAAAAAAUUGUUUUGAAUAUAAAAAUUCAAUUUAUGUUUAGAUUUGAUUAAGUAUAUGAUUUUUUAUAUUAAUUAGUUAGAUCCAAUUUUAGUUUCAAAAUUAGGUUAUAUUAAAAUCAUGAUUUGAUUAAGAAUGAUUGAUAUUCAAUUUUUAGUGAAGUUCAAUUUAGGAAUCAUGUGGAAGAAACAAGGACUUGGUUUAUUUGGUGGGUAAAGAUUAUGUUUCUGCAGUGAAAAAUAUGAGAAGAGAGAAAAAUAAAAGGGAAAAAGAAGAGAAAAAUAAAGAAAUAAAAAAAAAUUAAAUUAUUUGAAAAAAAUAAAAAUAUAGGAAUUAGUUUUAACAAAUGGAAAAUAUAGAAAAAUUAUGUUAAAAGUAAUGGAGAAGGGAGGAAAACAGAUAGAGAAGGAGAAGAGAAUAGACAAUAAAGAAAAAAAAAAAGGAAAAUUCAAAGAACAUAAAAGAAAAAAAAUUAAAUUACUCAAAACGAAAAAAAUAUGGACCAGUUGUAUAAUUUAACCUAAAUUUUUGUUUGAAAUGAUGAUUUAACGUGCCACAUUAGCUUACUGUUACACCGUUAACGACAAUUAACGCUUAGUGACUAAAAUAUUACAACACGAUAAUGUAAGUGACUAAACGUAACCUUUCAAACAUAAGUAACUAAAUAUAACAUGAGACAAAGAAAAAUGACUAUUUUGGUAGUUUACCUUUAAUUUAAUCAGUUUGUAUCAUUUCUCUAUCUAACAUAUAUGGAAAAAAAAUCUACAUUAGGAUUUUAUACUAUAUGAAUUACCCAAUGACAUUAUAAAUGUAAAUAAAUCGAAUUAUGUCAAAUUAAAGUAUAUAAAAUAAAUCUCAAAUUGAAAUAUAUUAAAAAGUAGAUGUGUUCAUUGAUCAGGUCUACGUAAGAUAUCAAUACGUUUUAUGCAUGUCCAAGCCUGACCUGACCCUAAAUAUAGGCCACAAAUUUUGCAUAAACUUGUACCUAUUUGUAAAUGAUUAACUCAAACCAAUUUUAGAUCCACACAUAUUAUGGUACUAUAUAUUUAAUUUAAUUUGAUAUAAAUUACAUAAUAUAUAAAAAUAAAACAAAAAUUUACGAAGUAGAUAACAACAGAGGCCGGAUCAAUCUUGGGUCUCGAAUACUGAAACCCAAAUCCGACCUAUUUUUUUAAAUAAAUAUAUAUUUUAAUCCAAUCCUAUUUUUUUUGAAUUUUACAAAUUAGUACUUGAUACUUAAAAAUUCCAAAUCUAGUGGACUUACCAGAGUUGGCCUUUUCAUCAUUUCAAUAAAUAAAUAAAAAGAACUUUUAAGUCUUUUAAGCCCUUUAAUCAUACACCACAUACCAUUUGAUCUUAACCUAUCUAGCAACCCCUAAUGGUCCACCAAAUAGGAUCCCACAUAUAAUAUAUAUGUGGACUGUGAAAGAAUCACAAUAAUCUCUAAAUAAUUAUAAUAUUAGGUUAAUUGAAUCAAAGGGUAUUUUUUUUUCCCCAAAGCAAAAUCAACAUAUCCUUAAAGUCCUCCAUAUUUGAGUAAAAGAUUGAAAGAUCCAUCCCCACAAUGUUUCAUGUAGUAAUAUUCAUAUAUUUCACUAUAUUCACAUAAAUAAUAAUUAUAUUACGUAAUUUUCGUGGCGUAACUAUUAUGGAAGUUCUCAUACUAAGAGUUAAAUUGUAUUUUGUUAUUCUUUUAAAAAAAAUAGAUAAAUGAGUCUCUGAAUGUUAGUUCAAUGAGUUUCUAUUGUUGAAAAUUGGCGUCGUUAACAUGUAUACCGCAUGCUGACAUACAAGAUCAGUGAUUUUUAACAAUAGAAAUAGAUGGAAUCUGACUUUACGGGAACUUCUAUGAUACUUUUACUUCAAAUUUGUUCUGACAAUGACUUCGCCCUCAACAUGGUAAAAUUAUCAUUUUAGUCCCUUUAAAAUUUAUGUAAUAUACUAACUUUUUUUUUGAGUAGAUUAUUGAUAUGAAUACCCAAAAGGCAAAAGGCAAAGGCAAAGGCAGCCUUUGCCUUUAUUUUUCUUUUAGGGAGUAAUGGGAGACCAUCUUUUUUUGUGAAUGAUAUAAAUCAGAAUCUAAACAUCUUCCAAUUUAAAACUUUUGUGAACUUCAAGCUUCUUCUUCUUGCCUUUAACGUGUGCGUCCCGUGUGUUAUAUAUAUAUAUAUAUAUAUAUAUAUAUAUUGAACCUUAAUACCUAAGUAUUUUGACUAAAAAAAUAUUCCCAUAAAAUACUAUAAGUAUUCUUUACAAGUUGCAAUGUAAAUCAUGUGUCUAUGAGAAAAAUGUUUUUUUUUUUUAAAACUGUUAUGAAAAAGAUUAGGGUUUUAUCAUCUAGAGAUGUUGGACAAUUAUUGGCUCUUUUGGAAUUUAGAUGCUAAUGGAAUCAUUUAGGGUUUUAUUUCAAGUAUUUUAAUAUAUAUAUAUAUAUAUAUAUUAAUCAUUCAUGUCACAAGUACAGUAUUUGUUAGAGAUUGUGUGACUCGAAUUCCGUUACUUAUUGAAGAAAUAAAUAUAACAAUAAAAUAAGGGGAUCUGUGGAGACGAAGCGCCGAAUCCCCAUUAAGCAAAAAGUUGGAUUGGGGAAUGGACCAUACAACGCAAGUUAUAUUCGUAUAGAACUAUUUUUCUUCUAUCUGACUUUGAUUAGAACAGGGUUCUCCAACCCUUAAAUAGAUGUAGUCCUCUUGUAUCGUUCGUUUUUAACAUUAGUGAAUUUCUCCUCAUCUGUCCGUGGUUUUUUCCGAAAGGGUUUUCCACGUAAAAUUUGUGUGUUCUUAUUUUUUCUUUUCUUAUUACUUUGCGAUCGUUCUACCACCAUUAUUAACGUUUAUUAUAACAAGUAUAGUUAAGUAUAAAUAUAAAUACAUGUUCAAACAAUCAUAAAGUAGAAUAAAUUAGUAUAGUACAAACAUACUAAAAAUUGGGAUGAUCCAAACUAGCGCAGAUGAAAUGAAACUAAAAUCCACACAGGUGAGACUCGAAGAUCCAAACAUAUAAUUGCUUAUGGUGAAUUUGAAACAUGUGAACUCAAGACCUAGGACUUCUGCCUUCGUCUUUUAUCAACUGUGCUAAGACCUGAUUGUCAUGGUUCAUACCAAAUGAAUUCAUUGUGUAAAUUAUAAUAUAAUAUUUUAAGCAAAUAAGAAGAAAAAUAGUUAAAAUAAUAUGAAUAUACUUAAAAAUUUUAUAUAUAAUAUUUUAAAGAUAAAUAUUUGGUAUAUUGACAGCGGAAAAUUUUAAUUCUACAAGUCAGAUUAAAAAAUUACCACAUGUCCUUAAUUGAGCAUUAAAAAAAAAAAACAUAUGAUAGUCUUCCCUAUUUUUUAUAACGAAAAUGUGAUUCGUUAAAAAACCACUCUUCUAAAUAAAAAGUGAAAAAGGAAUUCACCUAUAUGAUCAUUCAUUAAUCUAAAGACCGACAAUUUGAUGGUUGAUGUCAACAAAGAUAAGUAAAUGGUAUGUCGGUGAUUACUUAAUCUCAUACACUAGUAUAACAUUUUUUUUUUAUUUCUCAAGGUAUCUAUCGAAGCGAGUCUAGUAACUAAUCAUCCGCAUUCUGUAAGCAGAUUAAAGGGUCCAUGCUGACCACGAAUUUUAAAACCGUUUCAUACCCAGAGUGAAGAUCGAACCCUCGACCACUACUAGUAUAAUAUUAAUUACCAUGGAUAUUGUUGUAUUGGGACUGAUGUGAAAACAAUCCUUUCCUUGAUUUAUUCUCCAAAUUUUCUAGUUGAAGUAUCCAUGAUUAAGCAUAUAAAGCUCUCAUUCUUUAAAACAAUCAUUAAUUAAAUAUCCAUAUACAACACUAAGGUUGGUACAAAAAAAAGUGCUUUUUAAUUUAUAAAACAUCUUCCUUUUACCAUGGGCCUUCUUAGAGGCUUUUGUUUACACUUUGCCUUUGCCCUUUCUCUUUCAAAACAAUAAUGCCUAACUUUAUUGCUUCCCUUUUAGUAAUUUUAUUUUCUUUAUACAACGGUUAGGAGUUGUUAACGGAUUAAAUUCGAGAUCGAUGUCAAUUAAAAUUUUUAAAAUAAAUUUUUUUAUCAUUUUACGAGGAAAAAAUUUAGAAACAUUUUUAACCGAUGCCGAAACUUAAUUAUAAAUUUAAAAAAUAUAUAAAUGCAAAUUAUUUAAAAUAAACUUUCGUUAAAAUGAUUUUAUUUGAUAUCAGAUUUUGAGUUCGAUCCUUAGACAACUUAUUUUUCCUCCUCUUAUAAAAAAUUAUUAAUUAUUUUAUUUAAUACAAAAUAGUAAUAUUCUUCUUAUUAUUAUAAAUAUAAUUUAAUUUAAGUAAUAACUCUAACAAGAAAGAAGCAUACACUUGUUAGUGGAAUCUUUACAAUGUUAAACAUAUAUUAACAAAUUAAUGACUAAUUUAAUAGCAUUGGAUCCCUCCCAUGCAUUCACACAUGUAGAGCCAUCCAAAUCUAAUAGUAUUUUAAUUUUUAUAUUAUAAAGAAAAAGAGAGGUUUAAAGUAUAAAUUAUUUUGAAAAACAUUAAGGACCCACAAUAGCUUAAUUACGAAAUUCGUACUACAUCACAAAAAGAUGUUAUAAAAGAUUGUGUCGAUUGGGUCUUAACUCGAUUGGUAUAUAUGGGUGUUGUUGUCAAUGCAAGAGGGUGUGGGUUUGAGUGCGUUGAAGUGCAUUAUCCUCCUAUUUAUUGGUUGAGGAGGGACUAUGGGUAGUUCUAGCCAUUAUGUCAAAAAGAACAGAUAUGAUCAAAGCCUAUAAUGAGAUUAUUAAAAAAAAAUCUAUUUAGUGUACUAAUAAUACAUAAAAUAAAAUUAUAUGUAUUUAGUUUUAAAGGCUUCUAAUGUGAUAGUAUUAUGUAAUUCAUGAACAUAUAUACAUAUAUAAACAUUUUAUAGGUUAUUUUCACCAAAAAAUUUCUAAAUUAUUAUUAAGAUUUUAAAUAAUUUAUAAAAUUUAAAAUUAAUUGAAUCUUCAAAAGUAUUGAUAAUGUAACAAUCAUGUUGUUUCGUUAAUUUAACUAUCAAUUCAGACACUAAAUGUAAAUUCAGGGUCAAUGUAAAUAUACUUAAAACAAGUGCAUGUAUAUUUAUUACAUUAAUAAUUUUGAUAUAAUAUUAGAAAAAAACACGUAUGUACUUCACUGACGUCUUGGGUUUGACGUUCUAAAAAAUGAGUGUCAAUAAAAUUUUAAAAGGCUAAUUUCUUUUUCUUUGUAAACAUUUUAAACCCAAAUUGUCCAUGUAAUAGGUACAGAUUUAUUUAUAGCUUGAUACGCAUGCUACAAAUAUGCUCUGCGUCAAAUUUGAAAUGCUUAAGCAUACAAAAGGACUUGAUUGAUAUACGAUACCAAAACCCUAAAGACUGAAUUAGAUCAUGUUAGUGUUUGGACCAAGUUAAAAUAUAGGCAAUAGUUUGAGAAUUUUUUUUUUGAAAGUUUACAAAUAUAAAUAUAUUGUACUCACAAGUAUAGUACAAUUAUAAAUACAUAUAUGAUUAGCUAUAAACAUGGGCGACACGAAGGAGGGGCUGGCAAUGACCAAGACCCCCUUAAAAUGAGCUCCUUUAGAUCUUAUUAAUAUUAAAAUGGUAAAAUUACAUUUUAAUUCUCAUAAAAAUACAUAAUUUAAUUUUAGCCUCUCGAAAGAUAAUUUCUAGCUUUACCCUAGAAUACAAAGCAUCUAGAAAAUAAACAAAGAACUAACAUAUAAUCCGACAGAAGUCACCCACGACAAGUACACAUAAAAAUUACGUUUACUAAAGAAUCUAAAACUUCGACCUUUACAAAAUUUUCGAACAUUUAUUUUUAGGAAAAUAAGUUUUGCAUUAAGAAAAAGGGGUGGAGGCAUGGGACAAAAUGUGUUUGUUUAUGGUACGUAAAAUAGAUGGGAUAGAGAUACAUCAUAUCGAUGGAAAAAUAAGGCACCACACUGUCCAUCAUCGAUCGGAAUAUAUUCUCUGAUCUCUCGCCGCCAAAAAGUUAAAGCUGUCCUACGUGGGCGUGUUUUCUACGCGCUUUAUUGCACUAACAAAUAUCAGUUAAAACUCACAAUAAACUAACCUCCAACUAGGUAGGUACUACUAUGGAAGGGACCUUUUUUUUUUUUUUUUGGGUUAAAGUCAUGGGCAAAAUCCAUGCAUAUCCGACAAGAAAAGCCGUCUAGUGGGGCCCUGUCAUGGUCCUACUUGGCCAAUCACGUCAUGAUUCCAUGCAUGUCCAUUUGUGGGUCCAAUUUCCCUUACUUGAAAAGACAAGCCAUAUCACUUGGCUUGUCAACACGAAUUCCAUUAUACUUUCAAUUAAUUUCUCUUUACAUCCUCAAAGAUUUAGUGUUGUAUUAGUUUGGUCUUUGUGUUAGUUUCUCCUUUACCUUAGACAUUAAGUGCAAUGGUGGAUCUUGACAUUAAUUUUUAAAGGAGGCUAUUAAUUUUUUUUUUAAAUUAGAGAAGUUUAAUUAAAAUUUUCAAAAAAUAAUAAUCAAAGGGUUUAAUUAAAAUUUUUUAAAAAAAUUGGGAUGGCCUAAUUAAUUUUUCAUUUUUUUGAGACCCUGGCUCCUGGCUCCGAUUACCAUUUGCCCUUGAUUAAGUGCUAGAUUAAAUAUGAUAUGAAAUAUAUUUGAUCAAAUUAUAAACGCAAUGUAUAUUUAUCGCAUGGAUUUGAUUUGCUAGAAGAAAAAAGAAGCGGUCCGCUUAAAUUUUAUUGAUACAAUACUAUCUUAUUUCAACACGUUAGAUUCGAAUUGUUUAUUCUCUAGGUAAUUGUAUAUAUGUUUACAAUUUGAUUCAUGUGUUUAUGUACAUUCCACGAUCACUAAUUAUGUUGAUGGAAAGAUCGUUGAUACAAUAUUAAUAUUUUAAGGACUCGAUCAAAACAUCUUGUAAUUUAGGGACCAAUUUAAAUUUUAAGCGGUAGUUUGAGAAGUUGGAUGAAUUAGCCCCUAACUUCUGUUUCUAAAAAAAAUUUUUGACCAGAGCGAUUGCCGACGGGGCUGCUGCCUGUUUAUUACCCUAAUGUGAACGUCUAUUUCCGAUUCUUGAAUAAUACCUUUUAUUCUUUUAUUUUUUUGUUAAGGUUUAUGCGAUUUAUUUUGUUUAUACCAUGUUUGUUGUUUUUAUAUUUGUUUUAGCUCGGCUCGAUAUUAAAUAUGGUUUAAAAUUUUGUUUAAAUUCAUUUAUAUUAUAAAUAGUUAAUGUAAAUUUGUUUAGGUUUUUUUAAAUAUAUAUUAUUUUUGACGAGGGGAAUUAGGUCUUGAACCCUCAACGAAAGGUAUUGUCCCGUUAAGGGGUUUUUUCUCCCUUAAGAAGCGUUCUGGUUUAUGUAGAUACGACCUACAAACUUACGAGAGAAGUGUCAAUAUUAUUAGAAAUUAAUUAUGGAAAGUGUGCUUGCGGGAGAUCAAACCAUCAACUAAGGCCUUAUAUUUCUUACCUGUUUUAACUUUGUGAAUCUGGUUGGGUUCUUUUCGGAGUAGGGAGACAAAACCCUCGAGCAGGAUAAUACCUUUCGUUGAGGGUCCGAGAUCCAACUCCCCUCAACAAAUUUUAAUUCAUUAUUUAAUGUUUUAAUAUUUUUUUAUAUUAAAACAUGUCAAGCCAAGCUCGAGGCUUAAUUGUUGAAGUGCAAGCUCAGCUCGUAUUUUAAAUAGGUUUAUUUUUUAUGUUCAAAUAUAUUUUUUGGUUUUUGUAUUUUCGUCCAAACCCAUCUAUAUUUCGAACGGAACUUUGAAAUCAGAUGGAUAAUCCGAACCCUGAACAUUUCUAGGGUGAAUUUGAUAUGAUUUUUCAUCCAUGGGGAGGUGCCUCGUUUAACUUUUUUUUUCUAGGAUGAGAGAUCAUUCGUGGUUGUUCUAAAGUUGUUUGGUUGUCGAGAAAAUCGACGGAGAUUCUAAGUUGAAAAUCUGAACUUCUUGCAGCUCAAAGAUUUGGUUGAUUGAAUUAAGACCGUUUGUAUCUAUUAAAGUCAACGAAGGCUUUUGGUCAUCAUAAAGUUGAAAAGUAAAUUAACUCGUAAAUUAUUCAUGCACUAUAAUUUUAAUUGUAUGUUUUUAAAAUUAUAGAGAAAUUUAUUCUCACCUUUUAAAUAGAAGAUAAGAAAAAAAAACAGUAAUUAUUAUGAUAAUAAUAAUGUAAAUUCAAUUCAUAAAAUUUUAAUAUUUUAUUAAUAAUUCACACUUGCUGAGUCAUUUUUUGUCUAUCUCAUUAAAGAGAACAUUCGGGUAUUUAUAUAUAUAUAUAUUAUCACUAAUCAUAAUUUGACUCCAUUGUUCAUAGACUUGACCCCACUAUUUAUAGGACUAACAUUCUGAGUAGGCCUCGAGCAUGUUGAAAACGUCUAUUGUUUGGGGUCGCUUUUUAAGCCUCGCGGUCCCCUACAUGCGAACUCCUUGAGUAUAUGCAAGCUGGGAUCGUGAACUCCCCUCAGUCCGUGAGAGCUCCCCUGGCUGUCCCCUAACUAUAUGCUUCGCGCAUAUCUAUUUGGUGGAACUUAGCUGGGUCGCGAGUAGAAAACCUGGAUCUUAUCUGAAUUUCAGAUUAAUGAUCAUUGAUGUAUAGCGAAAGUGAAAUAAAACCUAAAAGGCUAAAGCUCUUUAAUUAAAUUCUUACAAAUAUGCAUUUUCCCUUUAAUUCUUCUUUACUAAACUAGAACAAAAUGUAGGUAAAAAAAAAUAAAGAAUUUGUCACAUCCAUUAUAAACUUUCGUAAAGAGAAAAGUGGAUAGUUUUAAAGAUGAAAAGUUACUUGAAAAAAGUUUUAGUGUUAUCUUGUCUUAAAAAAAAUAUUAAUUAAGAAUAGUAUGUGAGUUCACUCGUGACACCAAAUUUAUUAAGAUAAUUAAGGGGAAACGGAGGAAGAUAGGAAGUGACAUUAACCCCAAAGAUGAAAAAUUUCUUAUAUAGUCCUUCAAUUUUCAGAAAAUUAUAAAAUUGAAUAUAUGUAUAGGAGAUAUGUUUACAAAUCAAUCAUAGGGGGGUUUGAGGUUCAUAAAGUGGACUCUCAAAGUCUCAAAACUACUUUAUGCUAAUGCCCUCCCUUUCUAAGGUGAUGUGAAUGGGGGAGGGGGGUGAAUUUGCCUUGUCUUUAGCUCCCUAUUUUAUUACUUUUGUGGGGGCAAACCAAAAUAAAAGAAAAAGAUAAAAAAAGAAAGAAAGAAAGAAGAACUUUAAGUCACAAAAUGUUGACUUAUUUGUCAUCUUUGGAUCCAAAUUUAAAACACCCUUUUUCUAUUUACUUCUUUCUCUUUUAAUGAAAGCAUCAAUCUUCAUAUUUUAUUUUAUUUUGUUAAAUCAAUAUAAAAAUAGCAUCUUGUAUUUGUUUAAUUUUAUUUCAUAUGGUUUUGAUGAAAUUUUAAAUUUUCACUUUUGACCAACACCAUUGGUUAUGUUACUUAUAAGGUUAGCUUUCUGUUUGUUUGGACAUAUAUUGUCUUAUGAUUUUAGAGUAAUUCCUUUGUCUUAUUUUUCAAAAUGACACGUGUGGUUUCAUGUCUAUUAAUUAAGAUUGAGUCCUUACGAUCUUAAGUUUUUAUUUUCGAAUUUCAUCCCAUGUAAAUGUUUUUAUUACGUGUUUUUAACGUAAAUUACAUUGGUAGUCAUCUAGUCAUGUUCUUUUUUUUUGGUUAUUUAAUUAUGAAAAGUUAUAAGAUGAUCACCCAAUAAUUUAAUUUUGUCUUUUUUAGUCACCAAUUAGCUAGCGUAAAAAUAAAAAUACCCAAAGAUUCAAGAUAAUUGGGUGACUGAAAACGACAGAAUUGAAUAAUUGAAUGAUUAUAUUAUAAUUUUUCAUGAUUAGAUGAAAAAUAUAUAUAAUUGAACGAGUAAUGUGAAAAUGACAAAUCGUGAAUCUCGAAUACAAUAAAAAGGAAAUGAGUAAUAUAAAUAUAUAUAAAACCUAAUAAAAUAAAUCUUGAAAAGAAACAAAAAUGAAGGGUGAGAAUCCUCCACAAGAAAAAGAAAAAAAACGAAAGCAAAAGCUUGAGGUUGAAGCUUCAAAGUUGAUAAAAAAAGAAGAAGACAGGUCUGAUCUUAUGUUGUGUAUGUAUAUAAUAUGUCAUCAUCCCCAUAUAAUGCCAUGGCUUUCAACCCAUACCCUCUCCCCCAUUGACCCCUCAACCCCUCCAUGCAAAGAUAAAAAGCCUACAAUUAUAACCUCUAAAAGCCCCUUAUCAUCUUCUCCUACACUUUCAAACCCUAAAAGAACACUCAUUUAAACAUAAUCAACCCCCCACCCAAAAAGCUAUGAGAGUCCCCGUUUCUUCUCCACAAAGCAACCAUUGCCAAAGCCCUAAACCUAACAACAAUACUAACACUAGUAGUACUAGGAACAUAAGUUUCCAUGGUGCUACUAUUAACAGUGUUUCAACUUCGUGUUAUGAGCCUACUUCGGUUCUUGAACUCCGGCGAAGCCCGAGUCCCGGGCAUGAUAAUCCGGUGGAUCAUCAUCAGCAUCAACAGCAGCAGCAGCAGCAUCAAGCUCCACUUGAGUGGGAUGAACAUGUGUUACGAAACAUGGAUUGGGAUUCCAUCAUGAAAGAUUUGGGAUUAGAUGAUGAAUCAGUACCGUCCAUCAAAACUAUUCCACCACAAGAGAAUCAUAUACAGAACCUCCCUGAGUUUACUUCCUGCGAGUUAACUCACCCAACUGAGUUUAACAAUCUAUAUGAUUUCUACCCGUCUCAUAAUAUUGAUAUUUCUAAUACUACUACUUAUGGUUUUAAUAAUAUGGGGAACUUCAUCAAUUCCGGGUUUGAUUUUAUAGAAGAGCUUGUACGAGCCGCUGAUUGUUUCGACACCCAGGAAUUGCAGCUAGCUCAGGUGAUAUUAGCUCGGCUUGGUCAGCGGCUACGAUCACCGUCCGGGAAGCCGUUACAAAGAGCGGCGUUUUAUUUCAAAGAAGCUCUUUUAUCUCUUCUCACCGGCGGGUUAACUCGUACGACUCGGUUAUCGUCGUGGAACGACAUCGUUCAAACAAUCAAAGCUUACAAAGCUUUUUCAGGGAUUAAUCCGAUUCCGAUGUUUAGUCAUUUCACGACCAAUCAAGCUUUAAUGGAAGCAGUACUGGAUGGAUCAUCACCGUUGAUUCACAUCAUCGAUUUCGAUAUCGGAUUCGGCGGUCAAUACGCGUCGUUGAUGAGAGAAAUGUUUGAAAGACAUGACCAUUCACGUAAGUUCAUACGUGUAACAGCGGUGGUACCAGAAGAAUACGCUAUAGAAACAAGGUUAAUUAAAGACAACCUUGUGCAGUUCGCUUCAGAGCUUAAAUUAAGGUUCCAGAUUGAAUUUGUUUUACUUCGUACUUUCGAAAUGUUGUCUUUUAAAUCUUUUAAGUUCAUCGACGGUGAAAAAACGGCGAUCCUUUUAUCUCCGUUGAUUUUUCGGUCUUUGGGUUUAAACUUAACGGCGUUCUUGAACGAUCUCCGGCGGGUUAAUCCUACCAUCGUCGUGUUUGUUGAUAACGAGGUAUGGAUGGAGUCCGGUACGACAUCGUUCCGGAAGAAUUUCGUUAACGGACUGGAAUUCUACGCUAUGAUGUUUGAGUCUUUGGAUGCGGCGGUCGUGGGGAACGGGGAAUGGGUGAGGAAAAUAGAGACGUUGCUUCUCCGGCCAAGGAUAUUAGCGGCAGUGGAAACGGCUGCGAGGAGUACGGCUCCCCCGUGGAGGGAGAGGUUCCGUGGGGCGGGGAUGAGGGCUGUGCAUUUGAGCCAGUUGGCGGAGUUCCAAGCGGAGUGCUUACUGGGGAAAGUUCAGGUCAGGGGAUUCCACGUGGCGAAACGACAAGCUGAGUUGGUGCUUUGCUGGUACGAGAGUGCCUUGGUUGCCACGUCAGCAUGGAGGUGUUGAAUGUAAGAAAUUUAGCCUAGCUGGAAUUCUUAGAAUUUUAGUAUUUUUGCAUGGGGGUUUUUAAAUUUUAAUUUGGUAAUUAAAUUAAAAAAAUUGCUGGUAGUUAAAUUGUACUAAAAGAGGUAGGAGAAUGGAGUCCUUUAGUGCCUAGUUUCUUCCUUAUCCAAUAUAUAUAUAUAUAUAUAAGUAUAUAUAAAUUAUAUAAAAAAUAUGUAAUAAUAUUUAUAUAAAUAUGAAUGCAACACAAAAUUUGUAACCCAAAAAAUAUGUAUCCAAGGGGUUAAACCCCAAUAAUUAAAUCAAAUUUUAUUUAUUUUUUGCUUUGCUCCGGUGGAUGGGGGUUGAAGUUUUUUCUAAGACGAUAUUAUUGGGAGGGGUAACUGUGAACUCUGAACUCUGAACGUGGAUCAUAAACCGAUAGUAUAUGUCAUAAAAAAAAAGUUACAAUAGUAUAAUAUUAUACACAAUUAUUUGUAAAUUUGAAGUUUUUAUCCGAAUCUUGAAAAUGCAAGAUUUUAUUCUUCAAUAAGACUAAUAUAAUAAGUAAUAAAAUCAGAUCUUAUUCUAAUGGCUCCAAAUAAUAUUUAUUUAAGAGUACAUAACAAGAUUUAUCAACAUGUGCCAAAAGGUCUCAUUAUCAAAUCGGUUUACUCGAAGUUGAGGAGCGACGCAGAUGAAAUCAGGUAAACUUAAAGAGUUACACACAAUCAAGAUUCGAACAAGACCAAUCUCAAACAACUCGGACCUAUUUUUCAUGAGCUCUUUAUCUUGAUUUUCUUUGGCUUUGCUCUAAUUUUAAAUUGACAAUAUUCUUUCAUUAACCUAAUCAUUAACUUAAGUAUUAAAGGUUGAUUCAAAUCCGACUCGAACUAUAUUUAAAAUACGAUGAUCAAAUUGUAAACACUAGUGUACUUAUCUGGUGGUACACACGUAUGUCAAUUUUGAUCUAUGUACUUUAAACAUUAUCCACAUCGUUUAUGAAUUAGCCGUUAAUAUUGUAUUGAUACUUUGAGGGUCAAUCCCUCAAUUAGAACGUUCUGAAGUUUAGGAAUGAAUUUAAAAUCUAGACGAUAAUUUAAAUAUGUUGAUGAAAUUAACCCAAAUAUAAUGAAUCAUCAUGGCAUUGUUGAUCUAUAGCCUAAAACGAUAAAUUGUAAUGGGCUUGUAAAGAUACCCUAAUGGAUGGGCUGUUUACUUUAAGCAAAGUCGACUCUCAAUGGCCCUAAAGAAUAAUUGGGGAGGAAAUUGAAAAAAAUUGAAAAUUACCAAUAGAUUAUAAAAUAUUUUUGAUAAUAAUAAUUGAAAAAUCACUAGGUUCUAUAGAUGAAAUAAUUAUUGUUGAUAUGUUUUUUAUUAUUAAAUAACGGUACAAUCUUUUUAAGCUAACAAGAAACAAACUGUAUGAUAUUGAAAUUCUGAUAAAGACAUGCACUCAACGAUACAAGAGAGUAAUAUCAUAGCAUGUAUUUUAUCACAUGUGCGUAUAUGAUCAAUACGGGUAAUAAAAGAUUUGACAUGUGCUUCUAAGUCAUGUAAGACCCAUGAGAUCAACCAGAGAUCUCUAUUAAGUACUGUUAUGACACUUGACUUUUUCUCGAAAUUUCAAGUCAAUGUUAGCUAUCUUAGUAUGUUACCACUAAUCAUGCAUGAUCCGAUCAAAUGUGACAUAUCUAGAGAGCAACUAAAUUGAAAGAAAGAGAUUUUGUUUUUGUUUUUGUAUUCUUCAUAUCCAUUUUACGGUUUAUAUUCGGAGAUUGUGACUGUCCCUCCCAACAACAUCAUGUAAUUAUAUAUAACGCAUAUUAUUAUCGUAUCAAAAUUUAUAUAAAAAGUAUUAUUAUUAUAAAAUAAAAAUAACAAAAAUUCAACACAACACUUAUCUUGGCCACCGACCAACAACCUUAAAUUGCAAAUUCAUGCAAUCUUGUGGCGAGGACCACAAUGUCCCCCAAAAGGCAUAUAUUCCUCAUAUAUCCCUCAAUUUGAUAAAAUUUUCAAUUUGGUCUUUGAGGUUUUUUUUUGUUCACACUAUUUUUUUUUCAAUUUUUCUUAAUUUAUAUCAAUUCUAAAAAGAAUUAUUGAAAUAUUAUGAAGAAAGUACAUAUACUUUUUAAAAUUUCAAGUGAUAAUAGGACAAAAUCUUAAAGUGUCAUCUCGUCACACUUUACUUAAACGUAAGUUUAGGAAUCAAUUGAAAGAAAUUGUCAAAUUCGGAUAAUAAUGUAGACCAAAAAAAAUACUAAGUUCAAAGAUUAAAUAUUGCUUUUUAUCUCUUUUAUUUUUUGUGUUGUCCUUGUGGUAGUCCCUGUUAAAAGUUCAUUAUAUAUCAUCAAUCAUCUUUUUAUCAUUUUAUCCUUUCAUUUUUUAGCUUCAUUAUUGCAAAUAUUUAAUAUUCUUCUGGAUAAAAAUACUAAGGAAGUUUUAGUAUUAGGAGUGAGAUUGCAUUUUACCCAUUCUACUAAAAAAUAGGCAGAUUAGUCCCUGCACAUUAGAUCAAACAGAAAACUGAUUAUUCUGUUAAAAAUUCUAUCCAUUUCUACUAUUAAAAACGGGUCCCUAUAUAUCAACAUGAGGUACACUUGGCAUGCCAUGCCAAUUUUUAGUAAUACAAAAUGGAUAAAUUUUUUAAUAAAAAAGACUGAUUUACUCUUUAAUUUAACGUACAAUGAUUAAUUUGUCUAUUUUUUAGUAGAGAAGACAAAAUACAAUCUGACUCUUAAUAUAAAGGCCUUCGUGAUACUUUGAUCAAUUCUUUUUGCUAGCUUGUUUUUAAUUUACCCUUCUAUCAACAAACAAAAACCAUGAUCAUCCUCGUAAUCUUCGUCGGCAUCUUUCAUGAAUAUACCCUUCCAUGAUCCGCUUUUCCAUUUUUGUAACAUAUUUAGUUGAUUCUGUAUUCGAGUUAUUUUGAGUUCAAAUUAUUUUUGUUUCGGAUAAUUUUAGAAUUGUAUUGGACAAAUUUUAAUCGUUAACUUUUUAUAAUCAAUUUGAGUUCAAUCAAGUUUUAAUUUCACUAAAAAGGAAUUAAAUAAUUCGAGUUAUUUGAGUUGAUUAAGAUAUUCGGAUUAAUUUGAAUAAAAAAAUAAGUUUUUCGGUUGAACUCGAAUAUGAAUUACACAAUUCGAGUUAUUCGAAAAUCCGAAUAAGAAAAAGCAAAACUACGUCGUUUUGCUAAAAGUUUACAUUUUCUAAAGUUAAAAGUCAAAACCAUUAAGUUAAAAAGGUAAAUCUAUGUCGUUUUGAUAAAUGUUUACUCAUUAAGUUAAAAGGCAAAACCAUUAUAUUGUUUAUAUAGUUAAAUAAUCUUAUACUUCGUCUACUAGUUAAAUAAUCAGUCCAUGUAAAUGCAACAUUGAGUAUAAAUAAUAGUAUUCGUUAACUCGACUCAAAAUUUUUUGACUCGAUUCGAUUUGAUUCUAAAAAAAUUCAAACUGAGUUCGGUUGCUAAAAUAGGAUUCGUCAACUCGACUAACUCGAAAUUUUUUGACUUGAUUCGACUCGACUCGAUCGAAUACACACCCCUAUAGAUGAUGAUGCCCUACAAAAGUUCCACAUGAAUGUGAAGAAUUUUAAAUAUUCCCUGUGAGAAUAUUAGAUGCAUUGUCGUGUAUAAAUUUUAAGUAUUAUCAAAGAAUAAUAACAUAAUAUUUUAUUAUAAAAUAAAGUAAAAAAAUAGUGAAGGAUUUAUAAAUAAAUGCUAAACUCGAGAUUCGAGACCCUUAACCUUUAAGCUCAAGAUCCUAAAUUCAAGAGUUAAUAUUUAUUUAUAAUAGUUACGAUUAACAUGUUAUUAUUAAAUACCAAUGAUGCACAAAACUUAUGCAUCGACAGUGUAUCAAAUAUUAUUUCAUCUUAUAUUAUAGCCCGUAAUGUUAUACUUCGGAAUAAGAUUACAUUGUUUAAAUUCUCAAUAUUUCAGUCAUUUUGUAAUCCCACAACCCUAAAUAGUGUUAAAAUGUUGUAAUAUAGGAUAUAAUCUCAUUAAUUACCACCUAUUCCUGAAGUAAUCUUAAACUUUAGACCAGUUUACCAUUUAUUUUAUUAUUUUUAUCAGUUCAAUCUUUUUUUUUUCUAAUAAAAGUUAGGUCUAAUUAUGAUUGGUAAUGCAAUUGCUUUUCAAGAAUUAUUAUAAUUAUCAUUUAUAAAUUUAUUUUAACAUCAUAUAUUUACUUAUUCAUAUGUAAAUUGUAAUAAAAAUAAUUAUAAAAAUUUUAUGAAAAUUGAGACUAAAAAUAUUAAUUUUUUUUAAAAAAAAAUCUAUAACAAAGUCAAUUUAAUAAAAUGUGCUUCUAGAUAAUCUUCCAUUCUAUCAAUCAAACAUACUGAACAUUCCUUGAACCAAACCUCCCUAAGUGUGCGAAGAUCAUCAUCAUUUUUAUGUAUGCAUUAUUCUAAUGGUUUAAUUAUGCCCUUGGCCCAUGUACUCUUCUAAUUUUUAAAAUUUAGUCCUUUUACAUUUGAGUGGAAUUAAUUAUAAUGUUUUUAUAUAAUACAAGUUCAAUCUCACAUACCCACACACAAACGAACCUACAGGUCGAACCCUAGUUUCAAAUUUGGAUGAACUAAUUUCAGCCAAUGGGUUAAAGACUUUGAAGUCUUUGGGGUAUAUAAAAAUUUCUUUAUUAGUCAAAAAUUGAAGGGAAAUUAUGAUAAUUAAUUAAUCAAGAGGGAAAACAAGAAAGAAGAAAUAUAGUUAGACUUUAGCAACUUCACCCAACCAUCCUAGUCAAAAGCUAAGUUUACUUAAUAUAGUAGUUAAUAACAUUAAUCUCUAAAUUUAAGGUUAAUUAGGAUAUAAUUACAUUACAUUUGAUAUAUUUUUAAAUAUCAUAAUUAUCUACACAUAUUAAAGUUAAGUCACAUAUAUAGAUUCAUCCACUCCAUGCCAUUAAUGUAACUAUUUUGCCCUAUAUAGAAUACAUCUUGAUCCUCAAAUCCUUGUGCUCCAAAUUCCCCUAGGAAAGGUGGUGGAUCCACGGCUUCCAUCGAAAGAACCGACGACGAACUCGGACUAUUACUCGAAACCCCGUCUACUCGUUCUGUCAAUCCUUGGAUUUCCUUUUCAGCCUCUCGAAGUUGGUCCUUCAACUUUAAAACCUACCCAAAAAAAGGAAAUCGUAAAUUUUGAGAUUCGAAUUUCACAUAAAAGAAACAUGUUUUGGAUUAGGGAUUUUUCAAGUACUCUUUUGUUGUGUAAUAAAGGGAGGCAAAGGUUUGUUGUUCCAUGUCAUUGUUGUCCGAAAUUUCUUUUUAGAAAGGUUUUUUAAUGGACUAAACCCAACAACAUGGCAUUGUUUUUCUUCGAGCCUAGAGCUCAUGCAUGGUGGGGUAAACCCUUUUGUCUUUAUUGUUUUCAAAGGAUAAAAGAUAAGAAAGGGAUAAGCACUUGCUUGAUUUUCUUCGAACCAACGCUCUUAAUUCUUUUUGUUAAUUAAUAAUUAAUUUUUUCUUUAAAAAAAAUUCAUAAAUUGCGGAACUAAGCCCUCGUGAAAAAAAAAAAGUCAAAAUUUUAGUUUUGGUGCUUUUACUAUUUUAAAUCUUAGAUUCACUCCCAAAUUUCUUUAUUAGUUAGUCCAAAUACUGAAUUGGAUUUUUCUUUUUUUGUUUUCAAAAAAGAAAAAUUUAUGAUAGUAUGAUGAGUUGGAAAGCAUUUUCAAAAAAAUAUAGUCAGCAUUUUAAUUAGAAUAAUUAAGAAAAUCCAAAUUUUGAAAAUAAUAAAGGGACUAAAAAUAGAAUUUGACCAUUAAACAGGACAUGCUUUAUAUGGGUAAGAAGGAAACAGCCUGAUAGUAUUAUUAACAUCUGUUUGGUUCCUGAGAAACCAAAAGAAAAAAAGGGUUUUUUUAAAAAUGGUUAAAAGCUUAAAAUAAAGAAAAGAGUUUGUGUUUAAACAUUCAACUAAAUCAUUUCUGUUCAUAAAAUGCAUGAAAUAUAUAUAUAUAUAUAUAUAUAUAUAUAUAUAUACACCUCGGAUUCAAGGCGACAUUUCUCAACAACAACACCUUCAUGGAUUGUCUUCAACUUGCUAUACUCUUCCUCGAGCUUCUUGUUCUUCCAACGAGCUCUUCGGUUUUGGAACCAAACCGCGACCUGCCGAGGGUCCAGACCGAGCUCUGAAGCGAGUCGGUCUUUCCUCUCGGACUCGAGUUUAUGUUCAUUCCCAAAGUUAAGUUCAAGAAGAUCAACUUGUUCUUGGCUAAGCUUCCUUUUCUUAGCUGUCUCCGCCGCGGUUGCCGCCCCGCUUUCCCCUCCCUUGUUCUUCUUCCGUCGUCGUCGAGGCUUCGAUAUUUCCCCUGCCAUUUAAAAAAAGGGUUCCUAUAAGUUACCAAGAUUAAUGAAAGAAAUCAUAAAGAUUUGAGUUUAAGUACACAAAUUAUUUACCUUGUUGUGGUGCAACUUGAGUGUAUAUGCAAGGGUACAUUUGGGUGAUUAGAGCCAUUGGAUCUUCAAGCUCUUUCAUUUGGGUUGUCAUGAUGAUUUUUUUUUUUCUUUUGCUCUUGAAUUUAGCAAUGGGUUUUAUCUAUGCUAAGAGAAGUGGAUAUGUUUGUGAAGUAAUGUUGUUUAUUUAUAGGGUUGAGUAGGACUUACAAAAGGAGUACACUAUUCAAAGAUGGGAACUUCAUUUGCAUUUUGAAUGACAACAAUGCCCCUUUCUAGUGUUUCAAUAUUUGGUAUAUCAAAUUUGGGACAAAAAGAAAGUUUAUGCUUUAAAUAGUUUGUUUUCACUUUUUAAUAAACUUGUGCAUGUAUGGGGAUUUUAUAUAUAAAAGAAGUUCAAGUUUAGAGACAAAGGAAAAAGAUAAUAUUGCAAUGAUAUUGAUAAUUAUCUUUUACAAUUUAAACUUCAUCCAAUAAUCGAAAAAUAUAUAAAUUAAAACUAGAUUAUAUUACAUUCACGAUGGAGUGAAAGUAAUUAUGUUUAAAAGUAUGUAUUUUUUUCUCUAGAUUUCAUGUAAAAAGAUAAAAAUAUCAGUUGAGACUGAUUACGGGUAUACCAACUUGGUCAAAAACUUUAAAAUUUGCUUUGGGAAUCAUUUAGAGAUCGGCUUAGAUGAUAAAAACCCUUUUUUUAAUAUAUUUUUUAUUGUCAAAUUGAAUUAAAGAGUCUUAUUUUAAUAGAAAGAUGAUGUUUUUGGACUAAAAAGUGGAUAAGGCACUUUAAAUGAAAAUUCCAAAUGGGAAAAUAGAUAUACCAAUUAAAAGGUUUUCCUCAUCUUCACAAUAUAAAUUCAAGAAUGAUAGCUUCCAUGAAAUUUCCUAAUCCUGAAAUAAAGAUGGGGUUUGGAUU
Molecule: long non-coding RNA, 34951 nt
Filed under: Gossypium raimondii (Peruvian cotton)
Lineage: Eukaryota; Viridiplantae; Streptophyta; Magnoliopsida; Malvales; Malvaceae
Description: long non-coding RNA (GRAI_LNC001752)
Rfam family: tRNA (bases 494-566)
Source: RNAcentral